RNAcentral lists this ribosomal RNA (1697 nucleotides) under metagenome. RNAcentral's name for it is "bacterial LSU rRNA". It matches the Rfam family "Bacterial large subunit ribosomal RNA", at positions 1199 to 2925 of the family's 2925-position model. The record is from RNAcentral.
GCCGCGGAACCCGUAAGGGUUGGUAGAGGAGCAUUCUUAGGGGAGCGAAGCAUUACCGGAAGGGGAUGUGGACUGCUAAGAAGAGAGAAUGCCGGAAUGAGUAGCGAGAGCAAGGUGAGAAUCCUAGCGGCCGAAUAUCCAAGGUUUCCAGAGUAAAGCUGAUCUGCUCUGGGUAAGUCGGGGCCUAAGGAGAGGCAGAGAUGCGUAUCCGAUGGACAGCAGGUUUAAGAUUCCUGCACCCCUUGUUAUCAGAACUGCGGGGACACGGGAAGGGAAGCAGAGCCGGGAAUGGAAAGCCCGGUGCAAGCGAAGUAGUCGCAGGGUUGGAAAAUCCGCCCUGCAUGAGACGAAGGCGUGAUGCGGAGCGAAAUGAAGUAGUGAAGCUGCGGCCCCUUCCUGUCGAGAAAAGCCGCUAUCGUGUAGCAAGGGCCCGUACCGUAAACCGACACAGGUGGAUGAGGAGAGGAUCCUAAGGCCGGCGGGAGAAGUGUUGUUAAGGAACUCGGCAAAAUGACUCCGUAACUUCGGGAGAAGGAGUGCUGCGCAAGCAUCCGCAGAGAAAUGGCCCAAGCAACUGUUUAGCAAAAACACAGGUCUAUGCGAAACCGAAAGGUGAGGUAUAUGGGCUGACGCCUGCCCGGUGCUGGAAGGUUAAGGGGAGAGCUUAGCGCAAGCGAAGGUUUGAACUUAAGCCCCAGUAAACGGCGGCCGUAACUAUAACGGUCCUAAGGUAGCGAAAUUCCUUGUCGGGUAAGUUCCGACCCGCACGAAAGGCGUAAUGAUUUGGGCACUGUCUCAACAACACACCCGGUGAAAUUGAAAUACCAGUGAAGAUGCUGGUUACCCGCGCCAGGACGGAAAGACCCCAUGGAGCUUUACUCCAGCCUGAUACUGGGAUUCGGUAUUGCAUGUACAGGAUAGGUGGGAGGCUAAGAACUUAUGGCGCCAGCCGUGAGGGAGCCGAUGUUGGGAUACCACCCCUGCAGUACUGGGUUUCUAACCUGCGCCCGUGACCCGGGCGGGGGACAAUGUCAGGCGGGGAGUUUGACUGGGGCGGUCGCCUCCGAAAGGGUAUCGGAGGCGCUCAAAGGUCUCCUCAGGAUGGUUGGAAACCAUCCAGAGAGUGCAAAGGCAGAAGGAGGCUUGACUGCGACACCGACGGGUGGAGCAGGUACGAAAGUAGGACUUAGUGAUCCGGUGGCAUAAAGUGGGAUUGCCAUCGCUCAACGGAUAAAAGCUACCCUGGGAUAACUGGCUUAUCACUCCCAAGAGUUCACAUCGACGGAGUGGUUCGGCACCUCGAUGUCGGCUCAUCGCAUCCUGGAGCUGGAGCAGGUUCCAAGGGUUGGGCUGUUCGCCCAUUAAAGCGGUACGCGAGCUGGGUUCAGAACGUCGUGAGACAGUUCGGUCCCUAUCCGGCGCGGGCGCAGGAUAUCUGAGAGGAGCUGUCCUUAGUACGAGAGGACCGGGAUGGACCGUCCGCUGGUGGACCGGUUGUCAUGCCAAUGGCACGGCCGGGUAGCCAAGACGGGAAGGGAUAAACGCUGAAGGCAUCUAAGCGUGAAGCCCCCCUCAAGAUGAGAUAUCCAUACUCGAAAGAGUGAGAGACCCCUUAGAGACGAUGAGGUAGAUAGGGCAGAGAUGGAAGCACAGCGAUGUGUGGAGUUGACUGUUACUAAUCGGUCGAUAGCUUGACC